RNAcentral lists this unclassified non-coding RNA (250 nucleotides) under plant metagenome. RNAcentral's name for it is "partial contains small subunit ribosomal RNA, internal transcribed spacer 1, and 5.8S ribosomal RNA". The stretch from base 197 to 250 matches the Rfam family "5.8S ribosomal RNA", at positions 1 to 55 of the family's 154-position model. The record is from RNAcentral.
GUAGGUGAACCUGCGGAAGGAUCAUUACUGUGAUUGCCCCUUCCCUGGAAGGUGUGCAAGCCAUCCUUGUGUUGUGUGUGAAUGUAGUAUGUGCACACCUGUGCAUUUAUGCUGGGUGUGCAUGUGCACUUUUUUUUUACCCGUAUACAUUUAUUUCUGAUAUUCAUGCUCGCAAGAGCACCAAACAACAAUCGAAAACUGCCAGCAAUGGAUCACUCGGUUCUCGCAUCGAUGAAGAACGCAGCAUCUG